Molecule: RNA transcript, 3354 nt
Organism: Halichondria panicea
Lineage: Eukaryota; Metazoa; Porifera; Demospongiae; Suberitida; Halichondriidae
Exons: 4
Source: RefSeq, a predicted model, not a curated record
UAAAGUGCAAACCCUCGGCUGGUGACAUGAUAAUAAAGAAACCAGAAGAGUGAUAAUGCAGUGCAUGUAGCAUGUAUGACUAGCAUGCACUAGCACAGCAACUCAAGAGCAAUAAAACUAAACUAACAACGUACAUGCAUGAGACAUGCACUAUGGACUGGGAUCACAGCAAAGAAGCCUGGAGUCUUAGACUAAGAGAAGUAUGGCUCCUUCCAGGCUGGAGUACGUAUAGGAUCCAGAGUCAGUCAACAACCAGUCACAAUUCUACUUUCUUGACAAUUGUUCCUGGUACGGGAUCACUUCAGCUGAAAAUACAUAAUCAAGCCUUGACUACGUAUUUUCAGCUGAAGUGAUCCCGUACCUUGACUCAAGGCCACGUGGCAAGUUUAAGCUUCUUAGCUUUUGCUCGCUUUUACUCGACAAAGAAGCUUUAACAUCAAAAUCUGCCACUAUUGAAACCAAGAUAUUGUUGUGUGAAGACUACCUAUGCUGCAAACGCAGUGCUAUGGCAUCCAGGUGAGUAGAUAUACUCGUUACAAACAAACAAACAAACAAACAGACAAACAAACAGACAGGCUACUAUAACCCGUGGCCGCCCACGCGCCUCGGGUUAAUGAGGUAUAAUGCAUAAGAGGUGGAAUAGACUACAAGCAGACACUUGUGUACACAUUGGAGAUUAUUGCAUGUGAGGUGGUGGAGGUCAACAUAUAACCAUGCAUGUACUCGGGGAUUUAAAAAGCCUAACAUAAUUAUAUAACAUGGGCCCAGGUACAAAUAACCCGGCUAGGUUUAUCAUCCACCUGUACUAACAAUGUCAUGUGUAGUCGGAGUUGAAAGUAUAAACAUAAACGAUAAACUACUUAGGGCCUAAGGACACAAUAAUAGCUUGGGGACCUACGUACACACAAGCCGCACACAACAGUGUUAGCUCUUAUAGCUACAAUCUUAGAAAAUGAAGCUCUUUCUGGUGUUACUACUAACAUACUGCACAGUGGUGACAAGGACAGGAGGAUUGUUCAGAUGCAAUAGGCACAUUUCUUGUAGAAGAAAUUGCUGGUUUUGUGACUGCUCCUCUCAAUGCACGUGCACUACUUGUCUAAUGCCAGAAGCCAUCACCAUCACUGUUAGUGUAACAGUUUGCCCCACAAAGGCAACACAAGUACUAGCAACUACAUCACAAACACCAGCCAUUACUACUGCAGUCAGCUUCAUGAGUCCAGUAACACCAACCACUACAAUGCCAGGAUCUACAGUUACCACCCAACCACAGAGUCUAACCCCAGCGAGUCUAACCACGGGCUUAACUGCCUCUACUGGUGUUCUAGUGGCUCUACUGACAGGCACUAUACUAGGAUGGGUCAGUACUUGUGUGUACUGGAGAUAUUGGUACAAACACUUCACCAAACAACAAGAAGUAACGGACAACAGUAGGUCGCUACAUAAUGCAAUGUACGACCCCACCCUCACACUACCCACCCCCAUCACAAGCCACGCCCAACUACAGCUCCCUCGGUCACGUCUACGAACUGGUCGAACCAAUCGGAGGUGACUAUAUGACAUCAUCAAUAGGGGAGGGGCUUGUCACACCCCCUGAAUCACAUGACCAAGAGUAUAAUACGCUGGGCAACACAAGAGUGGAUCAUGACUAUCAGAUAUUGGAAACAGGGGAAGUGAAAUCGACCAAUCAGAAUAGCCAGAGCAUAACGAAAAAUUGUGUGAAUGUUGUUACAAGGGAAGCCGUAGAAGAAAGUGGUAGCCAUGACGACAAUACAAGCAAUCAAAUCGACAGUGGACUAGUUGGGACUCGAGAUUGUGAUAUUGAAAGUGAAGAUAUUGACAAGACGUACGAUAAUCUGAAGCACUGAUUAUUGUGUGUGUGUAUAAACUCAUAAAUAUUCAAUUAGCCUCUUAGAAACCAACACAACUAUAAAGAAAAUGGUUUCAGAAACUCUAAACAUCGGCACUAACCUUUGAAAUACAUUAGGUAGACAAAUGCUAUACUAUCAGUACCAAACACUCAACGGAAUUAUGACAACUGUUCUUAUGAUAAAACAUACAAUCUGUGUGGACUUGGUGUUGACUUUUCAGGACAUUUAACUUCAUACAGAAGGUACAUGAUAGGUGCAGUUAGUCAAGUUCAACCACAUCAAGAUGAAGUUUGUAUUUGUACUAUUAGUAGCAGCAGUUCACCGGAGCCUUUCCAUUGGGGGAACUCCUAUACGAAGUCAAUAGUUAUCAUACAUAACAUGAACACUUUAUGGCAUUCGUUUGCAUUAUAGAAUGCAGUCGUUCUGUGAAGUACUUAUUCAAGUUAAUGGACCAACAUGCCUAAAUAUUUGCCGCAAUGUUUUGAGAAACAACUUGAUAGAUAAUAUUAUAGGCAGUUGUAACUUGAACUCAGGAGAGGCUUGCAUAACGAUUAUUAAUGUAACAGGCAUUCAGAGAGAUUCAUGCUCUCCGGUCAUAACACCAUCAUGCCCCACUACAACCACGGUCAUUACACAGUACUUGAGUAUCACACCAACAAAUUGUCUACAGCCUACACACACCAAGGAAAUGUCUACAACCGUGGGGACAGGAAACACUGACGCAGCUACUGGAGAAGCUACAUGUACCUGCAGUGAAGUGACAGCCACCAUGAUGUCAGCUGCUGUAGAAGACCAAAACAGUAGUCCAGUGAUACUAGGAGCAUUCAUAGCUGUACUAGCAGCACUGCUGGUUGCAGUAACUACAGGAUGGAUAGUCACUUGUGUGGUCAACAGAAGGAAAGAUGAAGCUUCAACAAUAAGUAACAAAGAUAACGCUCUACAAAACCCAGUGUACGAUUCCGAACAUGUCCAGCGUUACCAAGGCAACCCAUCGGCUCGCACACAGACAGGCUACAGCUCACAGGGUCCGGCCUACGAACAAGUCAGGGUUGACACGGGAACUAACUAUGAUGUCAUUGAUCGCAGUGGACCACGCCCACCAACCACACACCCUGACCCAUAUCUGACCAAGACUACAGUACAUUGGAUACUGACGAGCAAGAGCAUGACUAUCAUGUGCUAGAGUCCACCAAUGCAGGGGGUCCAACAGCUGUGGGGGGUCAAGAGCCUCAAGACUACGAGAUACCACUCAGAAAGAUGUAGUAGCUACGUAAGAGACAGUGUUUGCAAUAGAAACUGAAAGCUAACUCAACAGUUUAUAAACAACUCCAUAAUUAUCCUAAUUACAUGUGUUCUAGUUCAGUAGAAUAAGAUUAUAACAUUGAUUUGUACUUGCACACUCACUCUCUUAGUUCCCCAAAUAUCAGACACAGAACAUGAAGGGUACAAAUGAAGCACUGUACAGUAUGAGAUGAGGUAUUAUACA